This 483-nucleotide ribosomal RNA is filed under the name uncultured bacterium. RNAcentral's name for it is "partial 16S ribosomal RNA". It matches the Rfam family "Bacterial small subunit ribosomal RNA", at positions 29 to 506 of the family's 1533-position model. The record is from RNAcentral.
AUUGAACGCUGGCGGCAGGCCUAACACAUGCAAGUCGAGCGGAUGAAGGGAGCUUGCUCCUGGAUUCAGCGGCGGACGGGUGAGUAAUGCCUAGGAAUCUGCCUGGUAGUGGGGGAUAACGUCCGGAAACGGGCGCUAAUACCGCAUACGUCCUGAGGGAGAAAGUGGGGGAUCUUCGGACCUCACGCUAUCAGAUGAGCCUAGGUCGGAUUAGCUAGUUGGUGGGGUAAAGGCCUACCAAGGCGACGAUCCGUAACUGGUCUGAGAGGAUGAUCAGUCACACGGGAAGUGAGAAGCGGGCCAGACCCCUACGGGGGGAAGGAGGGGGGAAUAUUGGACAAGGGGCGAAAGCCUGAUCCAGCCAUGGCGGGGUUGUGAAGAAGGUUUUCGGAUUGGAAAGCACUUUAAGUUGGGGGGAAGGGCAGUAAGUUAAUACCUUGCUGUUUUGACGUUACCAACAAAAAAAGCACCGGCCAACUGCGG